GACAGAGGGGGCAAGCGUUGCUCGGAAUUACUGGGCGUAAAGGGCGCGUAGGCGGGAUGGCAAGUCGGUCGUGAAAUCCUUCGGCUCAACCGAAGAACGUCGAUCGAUACUGCUGUUCUUGAGGGUUGCAGAGGAGACUGGAAUUCCCGGUGUAGCGGUGAAAUGUGUAGAGAUCGGGAGGAACACCAGAGGCGAAGGCGGCGACCUGGACAAGUAUUGACACUGAACUACGAAAGCGUGGGGAGCAAACAGG
This 253-nucleotide ribosomal RNA is filed under the name uncultured bacterium. RNAcentral's name for it is "partial 16S ribosomal RNA". It matches the Rfam family "Bacterial small subunit ribosomal RNA", at positions 524 to 776 of the family's 1533-position model. The record is from RNAcentral.